GACGAACGCUGGCGGCGUGCUUAACACAUGCAAGUCGAACGGAAAGGCCCUGCUUUUGUGGGGUGCUCGAGUGGCGAACGGGUGAGUAACACGUGAGUAACCUGCCCUUGACUUUGGGAUAACUUCAGGAAACUGGGGCUAAUACCGUAUAGGAGCUCCUGCUGCAUGGUGGGGGUUGGAAAGUUUCGGCGGUUGGGGAUGGACUCGCGGCUUAUCAGCUUGUUGGUGGGGUAGUGGCUUACCAAGGCUUUGACGGGUAGCCGGCAUGGGAGGGUGACCGGGGACAUGGGGACUGAGAUACGCCGCAGAGGCGAAGGGGAGGCAGAGGGGGGAAAUAUGGAACAGGGGGAGGGCGCGGGAGAAAAAGGCGCCGCGGGGGGGAUGACGGCUUGGGGGGUAAAAAAAGCUGUCGGCUGAGACGAAGCGGGAGUGACGGUAAUGAAAAAAGAAGCACCGGAUAACUACGUG
This 468-nucleotide ribosomal RNA is filed under the name uncultured bacterium. Its description in RNAcentral is "partial 16S ribosomal RNA". It matches the Rfam family "Bacterial small subunit ribosomal RNA", at positions 28 to 507 of the family's 1533-position model. The record is from RNAcentral.